RNAcentral lists this ribosomal RNA (253 nucleotides) under uncultured bacterium. RNAcentral describes it as "partial 16S ribosomal RNA". It matches the Rfam family "Bacterial small subunit ribosomal RNA", at positions 524 to 776 of the family's 1533-position model. The record is from RNAcentral.
UACGAAGGGUGCAAGCGUUACUCGGAAUUACUGGGCGUAAAGCGUGCGUAGGCGGUUUGUUAAGUCCGUUGUGAAAGCCCUGGGCUCAACCUGGGAAUUGCAGUGGAUACUGGCGAGCUAGAGUGCGGUAGAGGAUGGUGGAAUUCCCGGUGUAGCGGUGAAAUGCGUAGAGAUCGGGAGGAACAUCUGUGGCGAAGGCGACUACCUGGACCAGCACUGACACUGAGGCACGAAAGCGUGGGGAGCAAACAGG